CCUACGGGAGGCAGCAGUAAGGAAUAUUGGUCAAUGGGCGCAAGCCUGAACCAGCCAUGCCGCGUGCAGGAAGACGGCCCUACGGGUUGUAAACUGCUUUUAUUCGGGAAUAAACCUCUUUACGUGUAAGGAGCUGAAUGUACCGAAGGAAUAAGGAUCGGCUAACUCCGUGCCAGCAGCCGCGGUAAUACGGAGGAUCCAAGCGUUAUCCGGAUUUAUUGGGUUUAAAGGGUGCGUAGGCGGCCUGUUAAGUCAGGGGUGAAAGACGGUGGCUCAACCAUCGCAGUGCCCUUGAUACUGAUGGGCUUGAUUUCAGUUGAGGUAGGCGGAAUGUGACAAGUAGCGGUGAAAUGCAUAGAUAUGUCACAGAACACCGAUUGCGAAGGCAGCUUACUAAAGUGAUAAUGACGCUGAGGCACGAAAGCGUGGGGAUCAAACAG
Molecule: ribosomal RNA, 440 nt
Filed under: uncultured bacterium
Lineage: Bacteria
Description: bacterial SSU rRNA
Rfam family: Bacterial small subunit ribosomal RNA
Source: RNAcentral